RNAcentral lists this ribosomal RNA (367 nucleotides) under uncultured organism. Its description in RNAcentral is "bacterial SSU rRNA". It matches the Rfam family "Bacterial small subunit ribosomal RNA", at positions 526 to 896 of the family's 1533-position model. The record is from RNAcentral.
CGUAGGUGGCAAGCGUUGUCCGGAUUUAUGGGUUUAAAGGGUGCGUAGGCGGCCUUAUAAGUCAGUGCUGAAAUAUCCCGGCUUAACCGGGAGGGUGGCAUUGAUACUGUAGGGCUUGAGUACAGAUGAGGUAGGCGGAAUUGACGGUGUAGCGGUGAAAUGCAUAGAUAUCGUCAAGAACACCGAUAGCGAAGGCAGCUUACUGGGCUGUAACUGACGCUGAUGCACGAAAGUGGGGGGAUCAAACAGGAUUAGAUACCCUGGUAGUCCACACUGUAAACGUCGAUUACUCGCUGUUUGCGAUACACAGCAAGCGGCUUAGCGAAAGCGAUAAGUAAUCCACCUGGGGAGUACGCCGGCAACGGUG